GUGAGUAAUGCUUAGGAAUCUACCGAGUAGUGGGGGAUAGCCAUUGGAAACGAUGAUUAAUACCGCAUAUAUCCUACGGGGGAAAGCAGGGGACCUUCGGGCCUUGCGCUAUUCGAUGAGCCUGAGUGAGAUUAGCUAGUUGGUGGGGUAAAGGCCUACCAAGGCGACGAUCUCUAGCUGGUCUGAGAGGAUGAUCAGCCACACUGGGACUGAGACACGGCCCAGACUCCUACGGGAGGCAGCAGUGGGGAAUAUUGCACAAUGGACGAAAGUCUGAUGCAGCCAUGCCGCGUGUGUGAAGAAGGCCCUCGGGUUGUAAAGCACUUUCAGCGAGGAGGAAAGGUCAGUAAGUAAUAUUUGCUGGCUGUGACGUUACUCGCAGAAGAAGCACCGGCUAAUUUAGUGCCAGCAGCCGCGGUAAUACUAAAGGUGCAAGCGUUAAUCGGAAUUACUGGGCGUAAAGCGCGCGUAGGUGGUUUGUUAAGUUGGAUGUGAAAGCCCAGGGCUCAACCUUGGAACUGCAUUCAAAACUGACUCACUAGAGUACGAGAGAGGUUAGUGGAAUUUCCUGUGUAGCGGUGAAAUGCGUAGAGAUGGGAAGG
This 602-nucleotide ribosomal RNA is filed under the name uncultured bacterium. RNAcentral describes it as "bacterial SSU rRNA". It matches the Rfam family "Bacterial small subunit ribosomal RNA", at positions 106 to 704 of the family's 1533-position model. The record is from RNAcentral.